RNAcentral lists this transfer RNA (58 nucleotides) under Mus musculus (house mouse). It matches the Rfam family "tRNA", at positions 8 to 63 of the family's 71-position model. From Rfam's summary of the family: Transfer RNA (tRNA) molecules are approximately 80 nucleotides in length. Their secondary structure includes four short double-helical elements and three loops (D, anti-codon, and T loops). Lineage: Eukaryota; Metazoa; Chordata; Mammalia; Rodentia; Muridae. The record is from Rfam by way of RNAcentral. RNAcentral also lists the same sequence under 1 other name.
UAGCUUAGUUGGCAAAGCUUAUGCCUUGCAAGCAUGAGGACCUGAGUUCAAUCCCCAG